GUCAAGCACCCCUAAGUACCGGUAGUUAGGUUGUCCCAGCACAUAAUGGGUAAAAAUUCCCCGGGCAGGCCAGAAGGACAAAACAAAAAAAAAAGACACCUAACCCUCAACAACAGGUUUUGCAUUAUCCCAGUCCCGCAGAGACAAAGGAAGCAGUUGGAAGAAAAGGAACUCCCUCGGGUGCAGAAGACAUAUUGCAAAUUCAGAAAUAGCUGGGAAGGACUGAGGAACGUUUACAGCCUGGAAGGUGCCAUUUGAAUUAGCUCUGUGGUGUGCAUAAUUUAUUGGACACAAAUACAGUGAAAGGUUGACAAAUGCUC
Cyanistes caeruleus (blue tit) is the source of this 320-nucleotide non-coding RNA. The record is from RefSeq and is a predicted model, not a curated record. Lineage: Eukaryota; Metazoa; Chordata; Aves; Passeriformes; Paridae.